GUGUUCGUUGAGCCGAGAGACGGUUAGCAUCUCCCUCGACAAGGACGAGACUACCAUACGGUAUCAAAGUCAAUUAGACAAGCCUUGCCCAUUGGCAUCUGCGUUUUUUA
Molecule: small nuclear RNA, 110 nt
Organism: Albugo candida
Lineage: Eukaryota; Oomycota; Peronosporomycetes; Albuginales; Albuginaceae
Source: Rfam